This 439-nucleotide ribosomal RNA is filed under the name Staphylococcus capitis. RNAcentral's name for it is "partial 16S ribosomal RNA". It matches the Rfam family "Bacterial small subunit ribosomal RNA", at positions 951 to 1393 of the family's 1533-position model. The record is from RNAcentral. Lineage: Bacteria; Bacillati; Bacillota; Bacilli; Caryophanales; Staphylococcaceae.
UCGAAGAACGAGACACCAUACAAAUUUUGACAUCCUCUGACCCCUCUAGAGAUAGAGUUUUCCCCUUCGGGGGACAGAGUGACGGGGGGGGCAGGGUUGUCGUCAGCUCGUGUCGGGAGAUGUGGGGUUAAGCCCCGCAACGAGCGCAACCCUUAAGCUUAGUUGCCAUCAUUAAGGGGGGCACUCUAAGGUGAGGGCGGGAGACAAACGGGAGGAGGGGGGGGAAGACCUCAAAUCAUCGUGCCCCUUAUGAUUGGGGCUACACACGGGCUACAAGGGAAAAUAAAAGGGGGAGCGAACCCGCGAGGUCAAGAAAAUCCCAUAAAGGUGUUCUCAGUUGGGAUUGGAGUCUGCAACUCGACUAUAUGAAGGUGGAAUCGCUAGUAAUCGUAGAUCAGCGUGCUACGGAGAAUACGUUCCCGGCUUUUGCACACACCGC